GCUGGGCAUGGUAGCACAUGCCUGUAAUCCCAGCAACUUGGGAGGCUAAGUUAGGAGGAUUACAAGUUUGAGGCCAGCCUCAGAAACUUAGUGAGACUGUAAGCAACCUAGUGAGAGCCUGUCUUGA
This 127-nucleotide small RNA is filed under the name Marmota monax (woodchuck). Lineage: Eukaryota; Metazoa; Chordata; Mammalia; Rodentia; Sciuridae. The record is from RNAcentral.